UAGGUCUAUAACUCAGUUGGUAGAGUAAUUGUCUUACAAACAAUAGGUCAUCGGUUCAAAUCCGAUUAGGCCUAA
Molecule: transfer RNA, 75 nt
Filed under: Avrainvillea mazei
Lineage: Eukaryota; Viridiplantae; Chlorophyta; Ulvophyceae; Bryopsidales; Dichotomosiphonaceae
Description: tRNA-Val
Rfam family: tRNA
About the family: Transfer RNA (tRNA) molecules are approximately 80 nucleotides in length. Their secondary structure includes four short double-helical elements and three loops (D, anti-codon, and T loops).
Source: RNAcentral